CACUAUUUAAUGUAUAAAUAAAAGUUAAGAACAAAAAAUAGUAAACAAAAUCAUUUUCUUGCAUGUAAAGUUUAUAUCCCAUCAAUAUUCCUUCCACCUCCCGUUGUUAAUCAUCAGAUGGAAUGGUUGCUACCCAUAUUGUAUGCUACAACGAUCAACCACUGCAGUAAUUACUCGACCAGUUUUUACGUAUUGUAUGAAAGCCGAACCUUUUCCGCUGAUGUCAAAACCUUUUUGUCAUAGACUAUACAUAACUGACAUCAUUCCAUCUUGCUCCCAUCUUUCAAUAAUAACAAGACCAAAACUAAUAGCAUUUCCAGACCUAUCAUUACAAUUUAUGAUAAAAAAAAUAGAAAUUUGAAUUCAUAUUAUAUCAAUUCUGAAAAUUCACCCAAACCUCACUUACAAGGAGACUACACGACUCGUGACUCAUUGAUUUUGACGAAAAAAUUUGUAUGUGCAGAACUU
This 468-nucleotide long non-coding RNA is filed under the name Androctonus crassicauda. The record is from RNAcentral. Lineage: Eukaryota; Metazoa; Arthropoda; Arachnida; Scorpiones; Buthidae.